This 5903-nucleotide long non-coding RNA is filed under the name Olea europaea (common olive). RNAcentral describes it as "long non-coding RNA (OEUR_LNC004952)". Lineage: Eukaryota; Viridiplantae; Streptophyta; Magnoliopsida; Lamiales; Oleaceae. The record is from RNAcentral.
UUCCAACAUAUUGAAGACACUAUAUGAAACCGGCCUUCAAAGAGGAAUUAAUGGACAAGGUUCACAAGAACCGUGACUCAAGACUCUCCAAACCCUAGUCAAAGAUCGCACAAUAAUCUCAAAAACCCCAUACAAGAACCACCCUAAGCUCUCUCAAUCACACGCACCACAACCCGAUCUACUACAGCCAAAUAUAUCAGCCACAGACUACACAUACGGGCCUAUACACAAGGAUUUUCAGGUACAUCAACCUCUCGCAUGUUUACAGAGAUCACUUUCUCGAAGAAGACCGAAGAAUAAUAUUCAGAGAGAGAGACACAAAACCAAGAAGAAAAGGGACUUAAGUUCUCUGAAAAUCAUAUGGAGCCUGAUCAUAUGAAAAAUGUGGUUUAAUCACAACAAUCCAAGAAAUUCAAUGGCUCAAAUUAGAGUUGGGAAAGCACAAUCCAAGUAAUGAAUAAGUAGCCAGUUGGAGGUUGUCAUGUGGCCUUCCUUACAACAAGUUUACCAAAAAAUUCUCAGUUAAUUGUUAGUUAUUGGAACAUGUUUUCUUUCAAUCUUCGCAUUGAUUCACGAAAUACACUCUCUUAGUUGCAAUGAUUCACAUAGUAAGCUGAUCAUUGUCAUUGCCCAAGUACCUGCAAAAGAAUUACCUAUUAUCAAUAUGUAGAAAUGAUAAACAAACUUUAAACUUACUAUUUCUCAAUAUUAAUUUCACCUAAGGCUAUCUUAUUUCUAAGAAAAUGGUGCUUCACCUCAAUAUGUCUUGACCUCUCAUGAUAGCCAAAAAUUUAAUUAAGGGGGUGUUUGAGCUACAUUAUUUUGGUAAUAAUGCAUUCUUGAAUAGUAUAUUGAUGAGAAAUAUGUGGUUAAAAAAUAAGGAAAAAAUUUUUGAUCUGUGUAAUAUUAUUUUAUUGAAGAAUGUGUGGUUGAAAUUAUGUUAAAUAACUGUUUAAGAAUGUAUUUUUUUGAGAUAAUGUGGCUCAAACAGGCACUAAGUAACAAUGUACUCUGACUAUCAGUAAGAAUAAUGGGAGAAUAAUGCAAAAAAUUCAAUUCAUUCAAAAUGCCUUUCAACUAAAUGCAUUCUUUCACAGCUUCAGUCAUUUCCACAUAUUCAGCUUUAGUACCGGAUAGUGUCACAAUAGACUGUAAUUGGGAUUUUCAAGUUAUACAAUUAUCCUCCAAUGUGAAGAAAUAAGAGAGAGUUUAUUUCCUCUUAUCUUUGUUACCCACAAAGUCAGCAUCUACAUUUCCUUUAAGGAUUAAUCUAUCAAACCUCUUCAAUUUACAAACCAAGUCCGUUUUUUCCUUUACCUCAAAACCUAUGGGUCUCCUCAUAUAGAUAGUUUCCUCCAAUUCCCCAUGUCCAAAAGUAGCUUUAACAACUAAUUGUUCACGUUGCCAAUUGAAUUAAACUAAUGCUAAAAUUAAUCUAAGUGUUUUAUAUUUAAAGACAAAGGAAAAUAUUCCAUUAUAGUUAGUCCCUUCUCUUUGAGCAAAGCAUUUGACUACAAGCUCGACUUUAUAUCUCAAAGGAUCGGGAGGGUUGUUUCCUUCUUUUAAUUUGUAAAUCCACUUAUAUUGUACGGUUGUUUGACCUUUAGGCUUCUUAACCAAUCUCCAAAUCGUAUUUUCAAUUAAGGAUUGCAUUUCUUCCUCCAUUGCCUUUUUCUAGUUAAUAGAUUUAGGCCCAUUCAUAUCUUCUUUAAAAGAAAAAAGGUUAUGAAUAUUCAAUGCCUUCACCUGAAACUAAGGCAAAAUCAAUAAAGUUUUGAGACUCAUAUCUUGGAUUUGGUUUAAUUUGACUUCUUUCUCUAUCACUAUCUAAUUGAUAAUCUUGGAUAAGUUUCUCUUCAAUUAUCAAGGUAUUAGUUUCGAAUCCAGUUCAUUCAUGAGGUACAUCAAUCUCAUCAAUCACGGGUUCAUUCUCAUUACCUCCUUCUUAAGGAAAUACAUGUUCGUUUUUUAUUUUAUUUUUUCAGAUUGAGUGAAGUUAUAUUUUGUCAACUUUACCUCAUUUGGAAAUUUUCUUGUUAGUCAGUUUUAUCAGAAUCAUCAUGUUUGGGUUUUAGACAUGACAUUUCAAAUUCAUUAAACACAAUAUCUCAGCAUUGAUGAUCUUAAUACUUGGUACCUCUAUAACUUACAACAUGUAACAUUUAACCUCAUGAUAACCUAAUAUAAAACAUUUAAUGGCUCUAGGCUCCAACUUGCCCUUAGUUUGGUGUGCAUAAGCUACACACCCAAACACUCUAACGUGUUAAAUUUGGUGACUAUCCAGUCCACAGUUCUUGAGGUGUUUUAAACUCAACAGAACUAGAUGGAGAUCCAUUAAUCAAAUGCAGCAAUGCAUAUAGCCUCAACCUAAAACCUCUUAGCAAGGUCUGAACUGAUUAGCAUGCACCUGACCUUAUUCAUGACGGUCAUAUUCAUUCUUUCUGCAACCCCAUUCUGUUGGGAUGUGUACUUAACUAUCAUGUCUCAUGAAUCCUUUUUGCUUACAAAAGUUAUCAAAUUCCAAGUUACAAAACUCUAGACCAAUAUCAUUUCUCUAAGUUUUUAACUUCUUAUCCAAUUGAUUUUCCACAGUUUUAAGCUAAGUCCUAAUUUUAUGAAAGUCUCAAAUUUAUCCUUUGACGGAUAAACCUAUACUUUUCUAAAAUAAUCAUCUGCUAAGGACAGAAAGUACUUAUUUCAACCAAAUUUGGGAUGCUUUUCAGGCCCCCACAAAUCUACAUGGACAUAAUCUAAAGGUCUCUUAGUUGUAUGUGAUCUUGUCUCAAAAUUCACCCUGUGAGAUUUACCCAACACACAAGUCUCAUAAAAGUUUAGUGGAUCAACAAGACCUUUACCAAGUAAAUUUUGGAAGCUCAAAUAUUUCAAAACUUUAUUCCAUAUAUGCCCCAUUCUUUUGUGCCACAAUUCAGAUUAUCAUCAGUAACACUAUAGAGAUUAGCUAGUUGUGAAGUAAUGGCAUCACCCAUCAGGUAGAACAACCCAUUUUUCUUAGAUCCUUUCAUGACAACUAGGGAUCCUCUCAUGACUUUUAGUGUAUUAUUUUCAAAUUUGAAGAUAUCUCCUUUAUCCUCAAGGAUUCCCAAGUAUAUGAUUUUUCCUUUUUAGAUUAGGGACAUAUUUUACAUUUCUUAAUAGCUUGAAAAUACCAUCAUACAUCUUGAUGGCUAUGUCCCCAGUACCACUAACGGUAGAUGAAUUGUUAUCACCCAUAUAAACCUUUUAGGUUCAAUUUCACUAUAGUUGUAAAACAAUGCCUUGACGAGACAAUUGUGGAAUGUAAAGCCUAAAUCUAAAAUCUAGUCUUGGCUAAUGUCUUCACACGACAUAGUCAUAACAUGUAAGCUGAACAAUUCGUGACCAACAAUGGAAUUGUUCAAUUCCACAUUGUUUUGAUCAUUUUACUUUAUUUUUAUUUUUUCACUUGAAGCAAUCACUCUUAAAGGACCCUAACUUUCUACAACCAUAGCACUUCUUAUUACAUUUAUCUUUGGAUUUAAAUCUCUCCUUAGAUUUUCCUUCUACUUUCUUUACUUGAAAGUUAUUCUCUCUCUUUACACUCCUACCUCUUACAAUCAUAUUUUCUUCCCUAGAGGCUCUUGAUUCCUUUUUAACUUCUAAAUCUCUUGAUCUCAAGGCAACUAUUACAAUUGCUUGUGAUAACUUGUCCUAGAGUAUUUUAUUGCAUCAUUUUAAGAAUCGUGCGGAGAAUCUAAAAAAAUGACGGUCAAAUCCUCAACAUCAAAUUUCUUCUCUUUAUAUGCAAGACUCAUCACAAUUAUGUUAAAAUCGCUUAGAUUCAUUUCUAAAUCUUUCCUGGGUCCAUCCUAAAACUAAAAAAUUACUCUAAAAGGUAAAUCCUAUUUGGCAAGUUAGGAAUAAAGCAUCAAGUGCAGUUCAUAAAUCCCUAGCUUUUGUUAGUUUCGUCUACUUGUCUAACUAUAUGAUCAGACAAAUGCAAAAUUAUAGAACUAUAUGCAAUUUCAUUCAUUUCUUCAAUUUCAGUAGGUUUAGGUUUUAAUUCGGCAGAAAAUGUUUCACAAUCAUAAAGGGCAUUAGCAACCCUUUGUUGGACCAAUAUGACCCACAUUUUCUACAUCCAUAUCGAGUAAUUCCCAUUUCGAUCGAAUUGUGACAAUUUGAUCAUCAAAUCCAUAACAUCUUUGAUAAAAGGUGGUGUGAACUCAAGGCCAUUUGGUAAUUUUAUUUUUAGAUUUCCAAAUGAGCAGAAAAAUAUUUUGAACAACACAAUUAGAUUUUACAAAUCAGUCAGGAACCAAUUUCCAGAAUUAGACAGUAAUGAAUAACAUAUUACAGGGAUUGUGUAUUGCAGAUAUGUGUAAUAUCAAGAAAUAACUAUUAAUUCAUCUAUUAAUAGUUAUGCAAUCUAAUAGUAACACAUAUCAAUUUUUAGCAUGCAUCAAAGGACCAAAACUUGCAUGAGAUUUUAAAGUUAAUUCAAAAUUUAAAUAAUCUCCCCCAAAUUGUUGAAUAACAGUUUAAUACUUUCUGAUUCCUUAUCAAGAAGCCAAGAAUCGAGCAGGCCCACCGCCAAGCUAGUGAAACCAGUAAAGGAUACAAUCUGAAAUACUUAAAGCAAAAAUAUUUGUAAUUGUUAGAAAACUAAAAUAUCAUAUCAAAUUAUUUCAAGAAACCGUAGAGGCCUUCAAUUUUACAGCCAAUAUAUUACUCAAAACACGAGUACAUGACCCAGACUACUAUAAUUGUUUUUCAAAAAUUUCAGAUUACUGUCACUCGAAAAACAGAUUUCAUCAAAGAUGUCUAAUCAAAAAAAUUUUAAUGAAAAAUACUCAAAAUUCCUUAUUCAAGCUCUGGAACCAGAUUUUUUUUUAGGAUUUUGCCCAAAAUCAAUCAAUGACAAUCACAAACCAUAAAUUGCAGAAAAGUAAACAACACAAAUAACACAAGAUAUGUUCAUCCAGUUCAGUACUAAAUGGCCUAAUCUGGGGGCUCAGGAUUAGCCCAAAUACUAUGUGAAACUAGCCUUUAAAGAAGAAUUAAUGUACAAGGAGAACCAAGAUUCAGACUCUCCAAAACCUAGUCAUAGAUAACACAAUGAUCUCAUAAACUCCAUACAAGAACAACCUUAAGCUCGCUCAAUCGCACGCACCACAACUUGGUGCACAAUUGAUAAAUACAUCUACUACAAUUUACAAAUACGAGAUUAUACGCAAGGAUUUUCUUGACCUCUCAUAAAUUUAUAGAGAUCAAUUUCUAGGAGAAGACCAAAGAAUAAUAUUCAAUAGAAAUGGAAACUCAAAACUAAGAAAAAGAUAGACUAAGGGGGUGUUUUCUUUGUGUUUCAGUUUUAUGUUUUGAGUUUUGAAUUCAUUUUGAGUUUUGUGCUUUGAAUGUUUGUUUUGAAAUUGUUGGAAAUGCGUUCUUUUUGUUAGUUUCUCAAAAAAAAAAAAUGAUUUUUUUUUUAUUUUUAUUUUGAGAAUCACCACAACACCACCUCAAAAUACCGAAAAAAAAUCAAUUUUUAAUUUUUUUUUGAAAUUUUGAGAAUCACCACACCAUCUCCUCAAAAAAAAAAAAUUUUUAAUUUUUAAUUUUUUUUUGAAACUUUGAGAAUCACCACACCCCCUCCUCAAAAAAAAAAAAUAAUAAUAAUAAUAAAUAAAUAAAAAAAAGGUGUUUCCCGCGUUUUCAAUUUUUUUUCAAGUUUUACACUGAAAACGCCCAAAACGACAAAAAAGUCGUUUUGUGUUUUCUUCACAAAAUUUUUUUUUUCGUUUUCGAAAAUGAGAAAGAGAACACUUUUUCACCGUUUUGAAAAAUCGAAAACAGAAAAUGGCCCGAAAACGAUAAAGAGAACAGGGCUUAAUUUCUCUCAAAAUUGUACGGAGCCUGACCAUAUGGAA